GGGUUGUGAGGUUAAGCGACUAAGCGUACACGGUGGAUGCCCUGGCAGUCAGAGGCGAUGAAGGACGUGCUAAUCUGCGAAAAGCGUCGGUAAGGUGAUAUGAACCGUUAUAGCCGGCGAUGUCCGAAUGGGGAAACCCAGUGCAAUUCGUUGCACUAUCGUUAACUGAAUACAUAGGUUAACGAGGCGAACCGGGGGAACUGAAACAUCUAAGUACCCCGAGGAAAAGAAAUCAACCGAGAUUCCCCCAGUAGCGGCGAGCGAACGGGGAGCAGCCCAGAGUCUGAAUCAGCUUGUGUGUUAGUGGAACGGUCUGGAAAGUCCGACGGUACAGGGUGAUAGUCCCGUACACCAAAAUGCACAGGUUGUGAACUCGAAGAGUAGGGCGGGACACGUGGUAUCCUGUCUGAAUAUGGGGGGACCAUCCUCCAAGGCUAAAUACUCCUGACUGACCGAUAGUGAACCAGUACCGUGAGGGAAAGGCGAAAAGAACCCCGGCGAGGGGAGUGAAAAAGAACCUGAAACCGUGUACGUACAAGCAGUGGGAGCACCUUCGGGUGUGACUGCGUACCUUUUGUAUAAUGGGUCAGCGACUUAUAUUCUGUAGCAAGGUUAACCGUAUAGGGGAGCCGCAGGGAAACCGAGUCUUAACUGGGCGUUAAGUUGCAGGGUAUAGACCCGAAACCCGGUGAUCUAGCCAUGGGCAGGUUGAAGGUUGGGUAACACUAACUGGAGGACCGAACCGACUAAUGUUGAAAAAUUAGCGGAUGACUUGUGGCUGGGGGUGAAAGGCCAAUCAAACCGGGAGAUAGCUGGUUCUCCCCGAAAGCUAUUUAGGUAGCGCCUCGUGAACUCAUCUUCGGGGGUAGAGCACUGUUUCGGCUAGGGGGUCAUCCCGACUUACCAACCCGAUGCAAACUACGAAUACCGAAGAAUGUUAUCACGGGAGACACACGGCGGGUGCUAACGUCCGUCGUGAAGAGGGAAACAACCCAGACCGCCAGCUAAGGUCCCAAAGUCAUGGUUAAGUGGGAAACGAUGUGGGAAGGCACAGACAGCCAGGAUGUUGGCUUAGAAGCAGCCAUCAUUUAAAGAAAGCGUAAUAGCUCACUGGUCGAGUCGGCCUGCGCGGAAGAUGUAACGGGGCUAAACCAUGCACCGAAGCUGCGGCAGCGACACUAUGUGUUGUUGGGUAGGGGAGCGUUCUGUAAGCCUGCGAAGGUGUGCUGUGAGGCAUGCUGGAGGUAUCAGAAGUGCGAAUGCUGACAUAAGUAACGAUAAAGCGGGUGAAAAGCCCGCUCGCCGGAAGACCAAGGGUUCCUGUCCAACGUUAAUCGGGGCAGGGUGAGUCGACCCCUAAGGCGAGGCCGAAAGGCGUAGUCGAUGGGAAACAGGUUAAUAUUCCUGUACUUGGUGUUACUGCGAAGGGGGGACGGAGAAGGCUAUGUUAGCCGGGCGACGGUUGUCCCGGUUUAAGCAUGUAGGCUGGUUGUCCAGGCAAAUCCGGAUAAUCAAGGCUGAGGUGUGAUGACGAGGCACUACGGUGCUGAAGUAACAAAUGCCCUGCUUCCAGGAAAAGCCUCUAAGCAUCAGGUAACAUUAAAUCGUACCCCAAACCGACACAGGUGGUCAGGUAGAGAAUACCAAGGCGCUUGAGAGAACUCGGGUGAAGGAACUAGGCAAAAUGGUGCCGUAACUUCGGGAGAAGGCACGCUGGUGUGUAGGUGAAGUCCCUGCGGAUGGAGCUGAGACCAGUCGAAGAUACCAGCUGGCUGCAACUGUUUAUUAAAAACACAGCACUGUGCAAACACGAAAGUGGACGUAUACGGUGUGACGCCUGCCCGGUGCCGGAAGGUUAAUUGAUGGGGUUAUCCGUAAGGAGAAGCUCUUGAUCGAAGCCCCGGUAAACGGCGGCCGUAACUAUAACGGUCCUAAGGUAGCGAAAUUCCUUGUCGGGUAAGUUCCGACCUGCACGAAUGGCGUAAUGAUGGCCAGGCUGUCUCCACCCGAGACUCAGUGAAAUUGAACUCGCUGUGAAGAUGCAGUGUACCCGCGGCAAGACGGAAAGACCCCGUGAACCUUUACUAUAGCUUGACACUGAACAUUGAGCCUUGAUGUGUAGGAUAGGUGGGAGGCUUUGAAGCGUGGACGCCAGUCUGCGUGGAGCCAACCUUGAAAUACCACCCUUUAAUGUUUGAUGUUCUAACGUUGGAACGCAGGUCAUAGUGAUCCGGUGGUUCUGAAUGGAAGGGCCAUCGCUCAACGGAUAAAAGGUACUCCGGGGAUAACAGGCUGAUACCGCCCAAGAGUUCAUAUCGACGGCGGUGUUUGGCACCUCGAUGUCGGCUCAUCACAUCCUGGGGCUGAAGUAGGUCCCAAGGGUAUGGCUGUUCGCCAUUUAAAGUGGUACGCGAGCUGGGUUUAGAACGUCGUGAGACAGUUCGGUCCCUAUCUGCCGUGGGCGCUGGAGAAUUGAGGGGGGCUGCUCCUAGUACGAGAGGACCGGAGUGGACGCAUCACUGGUGUUCGGGUUGUCAUGCCAAUGGCACUGCCCGGUAGCUAAAUGCGGAAGAGAUAAGUGCUGAAAGCAUCUAAGCACGAAACUUGCCCCGAGAUGAGUUCUCCCUGAGACUUUAAGUCUCCUGAAGGAACGUUGAAGACGACGACGUUGAUAGGCCGGGUGUGUAAGCGCAGCGAUGCGUUGAGCUAACCGGUACUAAUGAACCGUGAGGCUUAACCUUACAACGCCGAAG
This 2753-nucleotide ribosomal RNA is filed under the name Klebsiella pneumoniae. RNAcentral's name for it is "23S ribosomal RNA". It matches the Rfam family "Bacterial large subunit ribosomal RNA". Lineage: Bacteria; Pseudomonadati; Pseudomonadota; Gammaproteobacteria; Enterobacterales; Enterobacteriaceae. The record is from RNAcentral.